AUUGAACGCUGGCGGAAUGCUUUACACAUGCAAGUCGAGCGGCAGCGCGGGGCAACCUGGCGGCGAGCGGCGAACGGGUGAGUAAUACAUCGGAACGUACCCAGUAAUGGGGGAUAACUAUCCGAAAGGAUAGCUAAUACCGCAUACGCCCUGAGGGGGAAAGCGGGGGAUCGCAAGACCUCGCGUCAUUGGAGCGGCCGAUGUCGGAUUAGCUAGUUGGUGAGGUAAAGGCUCACCAAGGCGACGAUCCGUAGCUGGUCUGAGAGGAUGAUCAGCCACACUGGGACUGAGACACGGCCCAGACUCCUACGGGAGGCAGCAGUGGGGAAUUUUGGACAAUGGGCGAAAGCCUGAUCCAGCCAUUCCGCGUGAGUGAAGAAGGCCUUCGGGUUGUAAAGCUCUUUCGGCAGGAACGAAACGGUCGUCUCUAACAUAGGCGGCUAAUGACGGUACCUGAAGAAGAAGCACCGGCUAACUACGUGCCAGCCGCCGCGGUAA
Molecule: ribosomal RNA, 498 nt
Filed under: uncultured bacterium
Lineage: Bacteria
Description: partial 16S ribosomal RNA
Rfam family: Bacterial small subunit ribosomal RNA
Source: RNAcentral